RNAcentral lists this small nuclear RNA (18 nucleotides) under Arabidopsis thaliana (thale cress). RNAcentral describes it as "snRNA_16721". The record is from RNAcentral. Lineage: Eukaryota; Viridiplantae; Streptophyta; Magnoliopsida; Brassicales; Brassicaceae.
CCAUCCUAGUACUACUCU